Molecule: unclassified non-coding RNA, 371 nt
Filed under: uncultured bacterium
Lineage: Bacteria
Description: contains 16S-23S intergenic spacer region
Source: RNAcentral
UAACACUCUCUCUAGCCAAUUUCGCUAUUCGAUCUGCCGAUACCACAAACUCAUCCCUCCUCAGAUCCAUAACAUCCUUGAUCAUCUUCUCGAUCACCGCUCGAUCACAAGUAUCUUUCAUGUCGAUCCCAAGCUUCCAUACCUCACUUACAAACCUACUAUUCACUUGUUGGUCCACAAAGUAAGGCCAACAAACCAUUGGCACACCCUCCACCAUACUCUCUAAAGUCGAGUUCCACCCACUGUGAGUCAAAAAUCCACCAAUAGCUGGGUGAGCCAACACCUCCUCCUGCGGGGCCCAACUCACUAACCACCCACUCUCCGCCGUAGCCUCCAAGACCUCCUUCGGAAUCUGACCCUCCCAGUCGCCA